RNAcentral lists this ribosomal RNA (465 nucleotides) under Vreelandella stevensii. Its description in RNAcentral is "partial 16S ribosomal RNA". It matches the Rfam family "Bacterial small subunit ribosomal RNA", at positions 338 to 795 of the family's 1533-position model. The record is from RNAcentral. Lineage: Bacteria; Pseudomonadati; Pseudomonadota; Gammaproteobacteria; Oceanospirillales; Halomonadaceae.
CCUACGGGUGGCUGCAGUGGGGAAUAUUGGACAAUGGGGGGAACCCUGAUCCAGCCAUGCCGCGUGUGUGAAGAAGGCCCUCGGGUUGUAAAGCACUUUCAGUGAGGAAGAACGCCUGGUGGUUAAUACCCAUCAGGAAAGACAUCACUCACAGAAGAAGCACCGGCUAACUCCGUGCCAGCAGCCGCGGUAAUACGGAGGGUGCGAGCGUUAAUCGGAAUUACUGGGCGCAAAGCGCGCGUAGGUGGCUUGAUAAGCCGGUUGUGAAAGCCCCGGGCUCAACCUGGGAACGGCAUCCGGAACUGUCAAGCUAGAGUGCAGGAGAGGAAGGUAGAAUUCCCGGUGUAGCGGUGAAAUGCGUAGAGAUCGGGAGGAAUACCAGUGGCGAAGGCGGCCUUCUGGACUGACACUGACACUGAGGUGCGAAAGCGUGGGUAGCAAACAGGAUUAGAUACCCCUGUAGUC